AUUUUUCUGUUUAGUUUUUUACAUUUAUAAUCAUGUAUUUUGCAUCUACAUAGAAGCCAAAAAUCUUUUUUUUUUUUCUGUAUAGGUGCAGGUAGUAACAUUUUGUGCUUUCAGGACAUAGGCUCUCUGUUGUAACUAUCCUAUGUCAUAAAUCCAUCUAUAGAUAAUAUAUCAAGAUGAUACGUAUGGCUCUUUUAUGCUGUAAAUAAAACAUUAUUUACAAAAACAGGAAUUUUAAACAUAGUUUAAAAUUGCUAGUAUAUAGUAUUGGAACAUAGGCAUUUUUAAUAAGACUUUUGACUUUAAAGUAAAUUUUAUGUGAUAUCAU
Molecule: long non-coding RNA, 328 nt
Filed under: Marmota monax (woodchuck)
Lineage: Eukaryota; Metazoa; Chordata; Mammalia; Rodentia; Sciuridae
Source: RNAcentral